RNAcentral lists this long non-coding RNA (1159 nucleotides) under Homo sapiens (human). RNAcentral describes it as "HSALNT0207151". Lineage: Eukaryota; Metazoa; Chordata; Mammalia; Primates; Hominidae. The record is from RNAcentral.
CGUUGCUAUAGACUGGGAGAGAGGAAGGAGACCUUUAAUACAAUUUAAACUUGGAAUGGAUUGGGUAAGAGCGUUACUGUAGACUAGGAAAGAGGAAGGAGACCUUUAAUACAAUUUAAACUUGGAAUGGAUUGGGUAAGAGUGUUGCUAUAGACUAGGACAGAGGAAGGAGACCUUUCAUACAAUUUAAACUUGGAAUGGAUUGGGUAAGAGCGUUACUGUAGACUAGGAGAGAGGAAGGAGACCUUUAAUACAAUUUAAACUUGGAAAGAUGUUUUCCUUUGAGUGAAGACCACUAAGUGAGGAGGAAGGAGCUUGCAAGCCGCCGGGUCAUGCACCACUACCCAGACAGUGUUGUUGCCUGCCCAGCAGCCAUUUCUCUCAGGUCUUCUCUGCUAGUGCAGCCUCAGUUUUGCUCAGAUACUGGCUGAAAAGUCCCCAACCUCAGAGGAGGCCAGUUCCUGCCUCAAGCCGGGGGAUAAACCGUGGUUGCUCAGAAACAGCCAUGGGGCUCCCUUUCCAUGCCAGUAGGUUAGGCCGUGUGUGCCUGUGUGCCCAACUCUUGCCAUAAAGUGUAGGAGAAACUUGGCCAGGGGAUGCUAUGGAAAAUAUUUUUCCCAGAUGAAAAGGAGUAUCUUCCCAGAGAGAAAGCUUCCUUCUGCACCUGUCUCCUACCUUUCUCCUUCAGAUGUUGCUGUUUGGAGCUGAGGCAGCCGUCCUGUGACCAUCUGUCAACAAAGGAGGCGCGGCUGGGCUCGCAGGCUGUGUCCCUGCUGGCCUGAGAAUGAGUGGGGCCUCCGGAAACCUCGCCCCUUCCCAGCACUGUCUACACAGCAGGGUGUUCUGAGAGAAGUCCAGCCUCUGCUUUCGACCUCUCUACCCUAUUUCCACCACCCCCUGUGCCGGUGAUUAGGCAGCGGUUUCCUUGUUAGAAGCAACUUUGAAGGACGGACACUGGAUCCUGAAACGUUUUCCCCUGUGGCUGCACGACUCACCUCCCACAGCACCUGCAGCCAUGUCCACCUGGCACCUGCUCCAUUCCAGGGUGGGAGCAGGGCAGCAGGAGGUCAAGUCUGAGAAUCACUUUACCCAGCAACACAUCUUUAGCCAGGGGAGAAAUGCAGAGAAAACAGCCGGUCAGGUCCAUGACCAUUCGCAG